This 585-nucleotide ribosomal RNA is filed under the name Pleosporales sp. RKDO799. Its description in RNAcentral is "eukaryotic LSU rRNA". It matches the Rfam family "Eukaryotic large subunit ribosomal RNA", at positions 68 to 667 of the family's 3401-position model. The record is from RNAcentral. Lineage: Eukaryota; Fungi; Ascomycota; Dothideomycetes; Pleosporales.
ACAGGGAUUGCCCUAGUAACGGCGAGUGAAGCGGCAACAGCUCAAAUUUGAAAUCUGGCUCUUUUAGGGUCCGAGUUGUAAUUUGCAGAGGGCGCUUUGGCGUUGGCAGCGGUCCAAGUUCUUUGGAACAGGACGUCACAGAGGGUGAGAAUCCCGUACGUGGUCGCUAGCCAUCACCGUGUAAAGCCCCUUCGACGAGUCGAGUUGUUUGGGAAUGCAGCUCUAAAUGGGAGGUAAAUUUCUUCUAAAGCUAAAUACUGGCCAGAGACCGAUAGCGCACAAGUAGAGUGAUCGAAAGAUGAAAAGCACUUUGGAAAGAGAGUCAAAUAGCACGUGAAAUUGUUGAAAGGGAAGCGCUUGCAGCCAGACUUGCCUGUAGUUGCUUAUCUAGGCUUUUGUCUAGUGCACUCUUCUGCAGGCAGGCCAGCAUCAGUUUAGGCGGUUGGAUAAAGGUCUCUAUCACGUACCUCCCUUCGGGGUUGGCCUUAUAGGGGAGACGACAUGCAGCCAGCCUGAACUGAGGUCCGCGCAUCUGCUAGGAUGCUGGCGUAAUGGCUGUAAGCGGCCCGUCUUGAAACACGGACC